AGAGUUUGAUCCUGGCUCAGAACGAACGCUGGCGGCAGGCCUAACACAUGCAAGUCGAGCGCUCACCUUCGGGUGGGAGCGGCGCACGGGUGAGUAACACGUGGGAACCUACCUUGAAGUACGGAAUAACUGAGGGAAACUUCAGCUAAUACCGUAUACGCCCUACGGGGGAAAGAUUUAUCGCUUCAAGACGGGCCCGCGUUGGAUUAGCUAGUUGGUGAGGUAAUGGCUCACCAAGGCAACGAUCCAUAGCUGAUUUGAGAGAAUGAUCAGCCACACUGGGACUGAGACACGGCCCAGACUCCUACGGGAGGCAGCAGUGGGGAAUAUUGGACAAUGGGCGGAAGCCUGAUCCAGCCAUG
RNAcentral lists this ribosomal RNA (362 nucleotides) under uncultured bacterium. RNAcentral describes it as "bacterial SSU rRNA". It matches the Rfam family "Bacterial small subunit ribosomal RNA", at positions 8 to 396 of the family's 1533-position model. The record is from RNAcentral.